This is an RNA transcript of Physeter macrocephalus (sperm whale), 2056 nucleotides long. It is a transcript of the gene named sirtuin 2, with no coding region annotated. NCBI's taxonomy places the organism in Eukaryota, Metazoa, Chordata, Mammalia, Artiodactyla, Physeteridae. The record is from RefSeq and is a predicted model, not a curated record. The transcript has 14 exons.
CCUCCUGUUUCCGGUGCCGUCACGGGGCAGAGCAGUCGGUGACAGUCCCGAGAGCCCCCGCCCCGCGCCCAUGGCUGAGCCGGAUCCCUCUGACCCUGUGGAGACCCAGGCAGGGAAGGUGCAGGAGGCUCAGGACUCAGAUUCAGACACUGAGGGAGGAGCGGCUGGCGGAGAAGGAGAGAUGGACUUCCUGCGGCAUUUCUUCUCCCAGACACUGGGCCUGGGCACCCAGAAGGAGCGUCUGCUGGACGAAUUAACCCUGGAAGGGGUGACCCGCUACAUGCAGAGUGAGCGCUGUCGCAGGGUUAUCUGUUUGGUGGGAGCUGGAAUCUCCACUUCCGCGGGCAUCCCUGACUUCCGCUCCCCAAACACGGGCCUCUACGCCAACCUGGAGAAAUACCAUCUUCCCUACCCGGAGGCCAUCUUCGAGAUUGGCUACUUCAAGAAACAUCCAGAGCCCUUCUUUGCCCUCGCCAAGGAACUCUAUCCUGGGCAGUUCAAGCCCACCAUCUGCCACUACUUCAUCCGCCUGCUGAAGGAGAAGGGGCUGCUCCUGCGCUGCUACACGCAGAACAUAGACACCCUGGAGCGAGUGGCGGGGCUGGAGGCCGAGGACCUGGUGGAGGCCCACGGCACCUUCUACACGUCUCACUGCAUCAGCCCCGUCUGCCGGCAGGAGUACACGCUAAGCUGGAUGAAAGAGAAGAUCUUCUCCGAGGUGACUCCCAAGUGUGAGAAAUGUCGGAGUGUGGUGAAGCCUGAUAUCGUGUUCUUCGGCGAGAACCUCCCAGCGCGUUUUUUCUCCUGCCUGCAGUCAGACUUCCUGAAGGUGGACCUCCUCCUCAUCAUGGGCACCUCCCUGCAGGUGCAGCCCUUCGCAUCCCUUAUCAGCAAGGCGCCCCUCUCCACCCCGCGCCUGCUCAUCAACAAGGAGAAGACUGGCCAGGUGAGCCCUUUUAGUCACACCCUGCCACCCCCGCACACGGGCCCCACAUUGCCUCCCCCCGGCCUCCUCGGGAACCAGGGGACAGGUCUCUGGGGAAUCCCGAUACUUUGGACCCCUCAGCUCAGACCUAAGGAUUCUGGAAUCCACAGGGGUCAGGUUCCAGGCUGCCCUGACUCCAGGAUUCCACAGGCCUCUGUGUCAUUCACCCUUUUUUUUUUUUUUAAUUUAUUUAUUAUUAUUUUUGGCUGCGCUGGGUCUUUGUUGCUGCGCGUGGGCUUUCUUUAGUCGUGGCGAGCGGGGGCUACUCUUUGUUGCAGUGCACGGGCUUCUCAUUGCAGUGGCUUCUCUUGUUGUGGAGCGCGGGCUCUAGGCGGCGGGCUCAGUAGUUGUGGCGCACGGGCUUGGCUGCUCCGCGGCACGUGGGAUCUUCCCAGACCAGGGCUCGAACCCGUGUCCCCUGCAUUGGCAGGCAGAUUCUUAACCUCUGCACCACCAGGGAAGUCCCCCAUUCACCCUUUUGAACGAGUGACGGAACCCCAGCUCAAAGCGACUUAAGCCAAAACGAGAAUGUCGUGCUUCCCGUGACUGAAGAGUCCGGGCUAGCUGGCCCCUGGGCCUGCAGCAGUGCUGUCAGGAGUUACCCGCUCCCUCUCUCGUCUCUCUUUUCCUGAGGUAGCUUCACUCCCAGGCAGGGGCUCCCUCCUGGGGACAGAUGUUUCUCCAACAGGCAAAAAACGUACGGUGUGCCACAUGCCGUGCUAAGCAUUUCCUCUGUAUUAACCCGCUGACAGUACGACCCUAGGAGUGGGUUUGAUGAUCACCCCCACUCUACAGAGAAAGAAACUGACGUUCAGAGAGGCCAGGCCAUUUGAGCAAAGUCACAGAGCUGGGAUUCCAACCCAAGCCACCUGGCUCCAGGGUCUGUGCUCUUAGCUCCCCCCGACUCCACCCCCUUCCCCACAGACUGACCCUUUCCUCGGGAUGAUGAUGGGCCUCGGAGGAGGCAUGGACUUCGACUCCAAGAAGGCCUACAGAAGGAGCUGGAGGACCUCGUCCGGAAGGAGCAUGCCAGCAUAGAUGCCCAGUCGGGGUCAGGGACUCCCAACCCCA